GUUACUGCAGGAGCCUGAACUAAACUAACUUUAUUCAUACUGUUUCGUAUUUUUAGCAUUUACAUGAAAAUGGCAUCACUAACAGGGAUUGGAAGCAGGCAAAUAACCCAUUGGAGAAACAAGUCAAAAAAGGGUCGUAUAAAUUUCCGAACAACCUCUGGAAGAAUGUUAGCAGUGAAGCUAAGGAUCUUAUAACAAAACUGCUUACUGUUGGUCACAGAAAAUGCAUCACGGUUUCAGAAGCUCUGGAACAUCCUUGGAUGAAGGAUAAAGAAAUGAUAGAAAAAGCAGAAAAAAUGAUAAAACCGACCGUGGAUGGAAGAUCAAUGUCUCCGCCCUUAUAAAAGGUAUGUUGAAAACUACGAUACUUGUCCCGUUCUUCCGUCCAAUGACCCUUAUUUUCAACUCGCAAUUGCAAUGAAACAUUACAUGUUUGCAAGUUACAUCGAAAUUUAACCAGUUUUCCGAAACAAUCUCAAGGCGCUGUUACACUACGCAACUUUCCUUGCAAAUUGCAAAACCAUUCUACUCCUGAGGC
Molecule: unclassified non-coding RNA, 538 nt
Filed under: Dendronephthya gigantea
Lineage: Eukaryota; Metazoa; Cnidaria; Anthozoa; Malacalcyonacea; Nephtheidae
Description: calcium/calmodulin-dependent protein kinase type II delta chain-like, transcript variant X4
Source: RNAcentral